AGCGGCCCGAGGCCUGGCCACGUCCGCACCCGGGGGAGGGGGCCGCGGCGGCCCAGGCAGGGGGCCCGGCGCCGCCUGCUCGAGCCGGGGAGCCCUCGGGGCUGCGGUUGCAGGAACCUUCCCUCUACACCAUCAAGGCUGUUUUCAUCCUAGAUAAUGACGGGCGCCGGCUGCUGGCCAAGUGUGAUUCUGGAGAGUGACCCCCAGCAAGUGAUCCAGAAGGUGAAUUUUAGGGUUCUUCAGUCUGCCAAGGAACAAAUUAAAUGGUCGUUAUUGAAAUGAAGGCUGUGGAUUCAAGGCUCCCUGCCCCCCAGACCAUUUCCCCAAUCCUGGCAAAAGCCCAAAGAUCCCAGGGUCAGGAGAGACCCCUCUGUAUCCCCAGGUCCCUCCCAGAACUGACUCCUAAGGUCUCCAGCCAGGGCUUCUGAGAUGCAAAGGUUUGGCCUCAGGAGAGUCACCUUUUCUCACGGCCCUGGCCUUAACUCAUAUCUUAGGCAUUCCUGGCCCCAGGGCCCUAAUAAACCUGCU
RNAcentral lists this small RNA (528 nucleotides) under Pan troglodytes (chimpanzee). RNAcentral's name for it is "processed transcript". The record is from RNAcentral. Lineage: Eukaryota; Metazoa; Chordata; Mammalia; Primates; Hominidae.